UACGUAGGGCGCAAGCGUUAUCCGGAAUUAUUGGGCGUAAAGAGCUCGUAGGCGGCUUGUUGCGUCAGCUGUGAAAACCCGCAGCUCAACUGUGGGCUUGCAGCCGAUACGGGCAGGCUAGAGUUCGGUAGGGGAGACUGGAAUUCCUGGUGUAGCGGUGAAAUGCGCAGAUAUCAGGAGGAACACCGGUGGCGAAGGCGGGUCUCUGGGCCGACACUGACGCUGAGGAGCGAAAGCGUGGGGAGCGAACAGG
Molecule: ribosomal RNA, 253 nt
Filed under: uncultured bacterium
Lineage: Bacteria
Description: partial 16S ribosomal RNA
Rfam family: Bacterial small subunit ribosomal RNA
Source: RNAcentral